RNAcentral lists this ribosomal RNA (291 nucleotides) under uncultured bacterium. Its description in RNAcentral is "partial 16S ribosomal RNA". It matches the Rfam family "Bacterial small subunit ribosomal RNA", at positions 333 to 635 of the family's 1533-position model. The record is from RNAcentral.
GUCUACCUACGGGGGGCAGCAGUAGGGAAUCUUCCACAAUGGGGGAAACCCUGAUGGUGCGACGCCGCGUGGGGGAAUGAAGGUCUUCGGAUUGUAAACCCCUGUCAUGUGGGAGCAAAUUAAAAAGAUAGUACCACAAGAGGAAGAGACGGCUAACUCUGUGCCAGCAGCCGCGGUAAUACAGAGGUCUCAAGCGUUGUUCGGAAUCACUGGGCGUAAAGCGUGCGUAGGCUGUUUCGUAAGUCGUGUAUGAAAGGCGCGGGCUCAACCCGCGGACGGCACAUGAUACUG